GACAAGACUACACCCAUGCAUAGUGAUAUUAGCAAGGAAUAUGAGAAACAUAGCAAUCACUCCCCUGUAAUAAUGUUGCUCUGCCGGCCCAAUACACGAGAGGGGGACUAUAUAAGAAUCAAUGAAGCUGUCACUAUCACGAACUACCCCACGAUCUGGCAUAUUGGGUACAAUCGCAGAUAAAUACGGUAUAAGCACCACGCCUACACAAUAUCUAUCAUUUACCCAUGGAUCCGAUGGAUAAACGCUAUACGAUCCUAAGCAUGUAUAUAGAUCGUAUCUAACUAAGCCAAGUACAUA
Molecule: long non-coding RNA, 300 nt
Filed under: Sorghum bicolor (sorghum)
Lineage: Eukaryota; Viridiplantae; Streptophyta; Magnoliopsida; Poales; Poaceae
Description: long non-coding RNA (SBIC_LNC014031)
Source: RNAcentral